CCAGAGCACAGGGUGCAGUUCUCAUCUGUCUGUCACCAAGAAGGCAGACGGGACAGAGGAACAACAAGUCGCUUGUACCUGAAGAGGAGGACACUCCUGGGAAACAAACAGAUGAGCUGCCCCACGAAUCCGAGCCAUGCUGGAGGCUCUCAUCUCUCCCAGGAUGGCCUUGGGAUGAUCUUGGCUUAUAGGAGUUGGGCCCACUUGUUCUAGACCUCAAACUGUUUGCACUCAACCCAGAGUUUCCAGGUAAACUGUUGCAGGAAUAUCGAUGUAGACAGCACUGAUCCAAAUGCCGUACUCUGAGAAGAGUUAGGGCUCAAACCCUCUUCAGUAGAUGGACGAUGAUUUGUAAGUUAACCUGAAAUUCUCAAGGCUGUAUCACAGACUGCCUGACAGCUGUUUGAUAAUUACUGAAAAUAGGCACCUUUGAUAUAUAAAUCAAGGGAAACAACCUAGGUGUCCAUCACUGAUGAACACACAAAACACGUGGUAUGUGUAUGAAGUGGAAUACUAUGUAGCCAUAAAAAGACUGAACUCCUGUCGUAUGUGACAACAUAGAUGAUCUGGAGAUCAUGAUGCUUAGUGAAAUAAGCCUGGUAAAGAAAGCCUACAAUACCUCCACACAACUUCUAAAGAGGUUGAUCACCUGAAGGUUGGACUCACCGACUUUCAACGUUU
This 681-nucleotide long non-coding RNA is filed under the name Mus spicilegus (steppe mouse). Its description in RNAcentral is "lncRNA (ENSMSIG00000012252.1)". The record is from RNAcentral. Lineage: Eukaryota; Metazoa; Chordata; Mammalia; Rodentia; Muridae.